CGAGGACACGCUGGCGGCGUGGAUUAGGCAUGCAAGUCGAACGGUAUCAUCCUUCGGGGGUGAGAGAGUGGCGAACUGGUGAGUAACACGUAGGUUAUCUACCCUCAAGACGGGGACAACCCAGGGAAACUUGGGCUAAUACCGGAUGUGAGCAACUUUUAGUUGUUUGAAAGGUGGCGUAAGCUGUCGCUUGGGGAUGAGCCUGCGUCCUAUUAGUUAGUUGGUGAGGUAACGGCUCACCUAGGCAAUGAUAGGUAGGCGGCCUUAACGGGUGGUCGCCCACACUGGGAUUGAGAUACGGCCCAGACUCCUACGGGAGGCAGCAGUCGAGAAUAGUCUACAAUGGUCGGAAGACUGAUAGUGCGACGCCGCGUGAACGAUGAAUCCCUUCGGGGUGUAAAGUUCUUUUAUAUGUGAGCAGUGCUUCUUAUAUUAACAGUAUGGGGAGAGAGAUAUUAGCAUAUGAAUAAGCAACGGCUAACUCCGUG
This 488-nucleotide ribosomal RNA is filed under the name uncultured bacterium. RNAcentral describes it as "bacterial SSU rRNA". It matches the Rfam family "Bacterial small subunit ribosomal RNA", at positions 33 to 507 of the family's 1533-position model. The record is from RNAcentral.